Molecule: ribosomal RNA, 2166 nt
Filed under: Triticum aestivum (bread wheat)
Lineage: Eukaryota; Viridiplantae; Streptophyta; Magnoliopsida; Poales; Poaceae
Description: partial small subunit ribosomal RNA
Source: RNAcentral
AUGUUCGAGUAUCUAAAUGUUGUCAGCAAGAUGUUUGAUAGUGAGGCUGAAGGCUAUGAAUUCUACAACAAAUAUGCUCUUGAAAAAGGUUUUAGUGUGAGGAAAAGCUACGUUGAGUGGGAUGGAUCCAACAAAUACAUAAUUUUAAGGAAAAUUGUGUGUAGUCGUCAAGGGUUUCGCGAAGAGAAGCACAUGAAAAGAAAGAUGGAAGAUAGAAAGAGGAGGCCACGUAGUUUAACUCGUGUUGGGUGUAAUGCUAAAUUGGUCAUUGCAAGACAGGAGGAAACCGGUCGGUGGUUUGUCAAGGAUUUCAUCGAUGAGCACAGCCAUCCUCUAGCCCCACGGGAUCUUUCUUGUCUGCUGCGUUUGCACAGACGAAUUAGCGAUGAGCAGAAAGCGGACAUUGCGGACAUGGAAAAAUGUGGGAUCCGCAAAUACCGUAUUAUGGAUAUUUUGUGCUUUCAAUACGGUGGAUUUGAUAAGGUUGGAUGCAUAAAGAGGGACAUUAAUUUCUGCCAUGCUAAUAAGCAGGAGACAAUCAGUGCCGGUGAUGCUAAUACCGUGAUCAUGCACAUGAUGGCGAGGCGAGAGCGAGAUGGAUUUUUCUUCAAGUACUUGGUAGACGAGCAUGGCCAUCUGAAGGGACUGUUCUGGGCUGAUAGUCAAUCGCGACUUGACUACGAGGCUUUCGGAGACGUCAUUGUUUUCGAUAGCACACACAGAACAAACAAAUACAAUCUGCCAUUCGUGUCGUUUGUCGGGUUGAAUCACCACCGGAGCACUGUCAUUUUUGGCUGUGGUAUAAUUUCUCAUGAAACAAGCCAGUCAUACGAGUGGAUGUUGCGGACCUUUUCUGAUUGCAUGGCACAGAAGCAUCCGAUAUCUGUGAUCACAGAUGGGGACCUUGCAAUGCAGAGAGCAAUCAGGGUGGCCUGGCCAGACUCAAACCAUAGACUAUGUAUAUGGCACAUUUAGCAAAACAUUGUACGCCAUCUGCAUGAUGACGACGUAAAGGAGGAAUUCAGAUCUUUCAUUUAUGAUACUUCUUCCAUUGAAGAGCAUGAGAUAGAAUGGAUAUACUUCUUACAACGGAAUAAAGUAACCAGUGAGGAGUCUUGGCUGCAUCAGAUGUAUCAAGUGAGAAAGUUGUGGUGUGCUCCAUAUCUUGAGGGGCGUUGUUUCCUAGGAUUGAGCAGCAAUAAGAGGAGUGAGAGCUUGAACUCUGUGCUACAUACGCAUCUUGAGGGUAAGAUGUCGUUGUUUGAAAUGCUAGAGCACUAUGAGCGUUGCCUUGCGUCGCGACGAAACGAAGCUCUCCAUGACAUCGAAGCCUUGCAGUCCGUUCCAUUUACAGAGGAAAAUGCUUCGCCGCUUGAGAAACACGCCGCAACAGUUUUCACACCUAGUGUCUUUAAGAUGGUCUUAUGGAGCAUAGAUGCUGUCAGCAAAUGUCAGAUCAGAGAGAUACUAGAUGGAUCAGAAGAUUCCACUUAUGUUGUGUCCAAGCAGGAAAGAAUGGAUAAAAAGUUUGGAGUGCGCAUUGAAGAGCAAGGAGGUCUUUUGCACAGGGUAAGUUGUUCUUGCCGUAAGCUGGAAUGCGCAGGCACACCAUGUUCCCACAUUUUUUACAUAUUGGGGAUUUUAAAACAAACAAUUCUGCCCAGUUGUUGCGUUCUCACUAGGUGGACUAUGAAUGCAAAAUGUGCAUACGCACCUAUCAGAAAAAACCAGAUGUAUGACUAUUCGGUAAGCCUGCAGAGGUACCGCGAGUUGCGGAAUUGUAGUCACGCCGCAAGUUUCAAGGCAUGCCACUCUGAUGAGGACUAUCACCAUCUAAUUAUGCUUUUGCAAGCACAACAUCAUGACAAGCAAUCAAGUUUUGAACAAGCUGACAGCAAGGAGUCAACUAAUGCUCAGCAUAACAACAUUAGGUUUGGCCCGUUGAUGCCGCACUCGGAGAAAGUUGAUAAGGUUCUGGAUCCCGUGCAUGUGCCAGGCCGAGGUGCACCGAAGAAAAGGCUGCAGCCAAAGACAAAGAAGUCAAGAUCACAGAAUAUCUGUCGCUAUUGCAAGAAUCCUGGUCACAAUCGACGUAAAUGCGCUAAAUUGCUAGAGGUACGAAAUAUGUUCAUAUUUAUUUUUUGCAUGUGUUUUACUCAUAAUUGA